RNAcentral lists this ribosomal RNA (429 nucleotides) under Pseudomonadota bacterium. RNAcentral's name for it is "Proteobacteria bacterium partial 16S ribosomal RNA". It matches the Rfam family "Bacterial small subunit ribosomal RNA", at positions 355 to 776 of the family's 1533-position model. The record is from RNAcentral. Lineage: Bacteria; Pseudomonadati; Pseudomonadota.
UGGGUAUUCUUGGACAAUGGGCGAAAGCCUGAUCCAGCCAUGCCGCGUGUGUGAAGAAGUUCUUCGGAUUGUCAAGCACUUUAAGUUGGGAGGAAGGGCAGUAAGCGAAUACCUUGCUGUUUUGACGUUACCGACAGAAUAAGCACCGGCUAACUCUGUGCCAGCAGCCGCGGUAAUACAGAGGGUGCAAGCGUUAAUCGGAAUUACUGGGCGUAAAGCGCGCGUAGGUGGUUCGUUAAGUUGAAUGUGAAAGACCCGGGCUCAACCUGGGAACUGCAUCCAAAACUGGCGGGCUAGAGUAGGGCAGAGGGUGGUGGAAUUACCUGUGUAGCGGUGAAAUGCGUAGAUAUAGGAAGGAACACCAGUGGCGAAGGCGACCACCUGGGCUCAUACUGACACUGAGGUGCGAAAGCGUGGGGAGCAAACAGG